RNAcentral lists this ribosomal RNA (1007 nucleotides) under human gut metagenome. RNAcentral describes it as "bacterial SSU rRNA". It matches the Rfam family "Bacterial small subunit ribosomal RNA", at positions 518 to 1520 of the family's 1533-position model. The record is from RNAcentral.
CGGUAAUACGUAGGGUGCAAGCGUUAUCCGGAAUUAUUGGGCGUAAAGGGCUCGUAGGCGGUUCGUCGCGUCCGGUGUGAAAGUCCAUCGCUUAACGGUGGAUCUGCGCCGGGUACGGGCGGGCUGGAGUGCGGUAGGGGAGACUGGAAUUCCCGGUGUAACGGUGGAAUGUGUAGAUAUCGGGAAGAACACCAAUGGCGAAGGCAGGUCUCUGGGCCGUUACUGACGCUGAGGAGCGAAAGCGUGGGGAGCGAACAGGAUUAGAUACCCUGGUAGUCCACGCCGUAAACGGUGGAUGCUGGAUGUGGGGCCCGUUCCACGGGUUCCGUGUCGGAGCUAACGCGUUAAGCAUCCCGCCUGGGGAGUACGGCCGCAAGGCUAAAACUCAAAGAAAUUGACGGGGGCCCGCACAAGCGGUGGAGCAUGUGGUUUAAUUCGAUGCAACGCGAAGAACCUUACCUGGGCUUGACAUGUUCCCGACAGCCGUAGAGAUAUGGCCUCCCUUCGGGGCGGGUUCACAGGUGGUGCAUGGUCGUCGUCAGCUCGUGUCGUGAGAUGUUGGGUUAAGUCCCGCAACGAGCGCAACCCUCGCCCUGUGUUGCCAGCACGUCAUGGUGGGAACUCACGGGGGACCGCCGGGGUCAACUCGGAGGAAGGUGGGGAUGACGUCAGAUCAUCAUGCCCCUUACGUCCAGGGCUUCACGCAUGCUACAAUGGCCGGUACAACGGGAUGCGACACGGCGACGUGGAGCGGAUCCCUGAAAACCGGUCUCAGUUCGGAUUGGAGUCUGCAACCCGACUCCAUGAAGGCGGAGUCGCUAGUAAUCGCGGAUCAGCAACGCCGCGGUGAAUGCGUUCCCGGGCCUUGUACACACCGCCCGUCAAGUCAUGAAAGUGGGUAGCACCCGAAGCCGGUGGCCUAACCCUUUGUGGAUGGAGCCGUCUAAGGUGAGACUCGUGAUUGGGACUAAGUCGUAACAAGGUAGCCGUACCGGAAGGUGCGGCUG